CAGCAGCCGCGGUAACACGAAGGGGGCUAGCGUUGCUCGGAAUGACUGGGCGUAAAGGGCGCGUAGGCGGCCAUUCAAGUUAGAUGUGAAAGCCCUGGGCUCAACCUAGGAAUUGCAUUUGAUACUGUUUGGCUUGAGUUCGGGAGAGGUGAGUGGAAUUCCCAGUGUAGAGGUGAAAUUCGUAGAUAUUGGGAAGAACACCAGUGGCGAAGGCGGCUCACUGGACCGACACUGACGCUGAGGCGCGAAAGCGUGGGGAGCAAACAGGAUUAGAUACCCCCGUAGUCCCUGUCUCUUAUAC
Molecule: ribosomal RNA, 301 nt
Filed under: uncultured bacterium
Lineage: Bacteria
Description: partial 16S ribosomal RNA
Rfam family: Bacterial small subunit ribosomal RNA
Source: RNAcentral